AAACAUUUGUACAUGUGGGGUCUUGGCCGCAUGCUAAAAAAACAUGUGCUAAUUACAAUAACUGAAAGGAAACCACUCCAAAUGGACGUCCCUCCCUAAAGAUUGUGAUGUUAGUUUACAAAACUGCCAAGUAGGGUAGAAUGGUUGAGAAGCCCGGGUCAUGCUCUGAUAGGGGGUUAGUUAUUUCCAUCACAAAACGUGCAUAAAAGGGCCUCCAUGCACCCUCCCCAUAUCACCAAUUACAUCUGUCCUCUUCUUCUCAUUCUUUUAACCAGCUGAAGAUUUGAUGUUUUCAUGCUUUCCACAGGCUUUCUUGAACAUGGUUCCCUUCUCAUUCUUUUAACCAGCUGAAGAUUUGAUGUUUUCAUGCUUUCCACAGGCUUUCUUGAACAUGGUAUUCAGACGGUUCCUCUUCGAGUUAGUUCUCGGAGAUGCAAUGUUGAGUAACAGGUUCAAAAAAGCUGUGGAGAAACAUGGAAACGAUUGUUAUGCUGUAUUGCUGGCUCGAAGGCGAUUUUAUAAGAAUGUUGGCUAUGGUUAAUUUUCCGGUUGAUGAUCUGAAGAUAUUUGUCACUGGUGCUAAAUUUUUCUUGGUUACUAAGAGAGAGCCAUAUAGGAUUAAUUUUUCAAAUUCCAACAUAUUUACCCUACUUUGAUAUUUUCAUUUCUGCUUUCGAUAUUGGUUUUCAAAGAAAUUUCAUGAAGGUACAUGCAUGAGUGGGUCUUCAUAAAUUUGGGUGGGGGUUCCGUUUACACAAAACACUAGUGGAGAAAAUAUAGCAAUGAGUUUAUGUCAAGAAUGUUUAGGGAAAGGAAUUUAUUUCAAAGAAUAUGGGAAUCUAUUUAGUCAUAAUAAAGUUACAAGGCGUUAUUGCAAAAAUAUUUCAUCUCCUUCAUAUUUUUAUAUGUAAUAAUUUAAAUAUCAUAUGGAUUUCAAACAUGGAGGGAUUAAAAUAUAUUUGUAAUCCCUGUGAUCUUGUUUUCCAGAAAGAUACUUAAUUGGAAUAGCUUCCAUUUUUCUUAUAUGAUAAUUAUUGAUUGGGUUUGUUUUUGAUGGACAAGUUUCUUGAUGUAUUUUUUUGCCCCAGUUACUGAUAGUGGAAAAAUGCUACAUUUCAAAUUCUUACAUGGUAAAAAAAAUAAAAAAAAGGGAGCUAAAUUACAUGUUACAUAAAAUCUGUAUUUGUGUCGUGUGAAGUAUAUUUUUCGAAUUACCAAAGCAUUGUGAUAUAUGGUGGUAUUGAAAAAAAAUGUAAAAAAUCACCCAAAUCAGAGAGAGCCACGACGUAAAACAAAUGGGAGAAAUUUAAAAAAUGCAUUAGCAUCUACUGCUAAAACACAUUGUAGAAUGACAAACUCCAUGAUAUCCCACUCUCAUUUGCUUUAAAACAUCAUCCUAGGGAUACUUACGAAGCAUAGAAACCAUAUUUCUAGUAAUGUCGAUGAAUAUGCGUUAUCUCAUUAAUUUGAUAGUCGUUAAAGUGAUACAGAAAGGAAGAUGGAGGAAUAUGUGUUAUCUCAUUAAUUUGAAUGUGGUUAAAGUGAUUCAGAAAGGAAGAUGGGUGUCUCCAAGAUUGGCUUAAAAUAAAUUUUGAUGGCUCUUUGGGGAACCUGGGUUUUGCUAGAAUUGGAGUUCUUCACUAAUAGUGAUAGUUGUGUCAUCUUUUGCUUUGCUCGUCCACGUGGAUGGUUUUUUUACUCUCAAAAUGUAAUUAUUUGGUGUAAGGAGGAGGCGAGGCCACCAUGGAAAUUAUGGUCCAUGUGAUUACAGGUUAUGGAUCUUGUCAGGGCUCUCUUUAAAACAUGCUUAUAGGGAGGCUAAUGAUACGGUGGAUGGAUUAAUAAAGUUUGGGCUUCUCUUUUGCAUUUACAUGUUUCCAAUUCUUUGUUUAUUUGAAGAGUUGUGUAACUUUUGAUUGAGAUUUUAAUAAAAUUAC
This 1937-nucleotide long non-coding RNA is filed under the name Amborella trichopoda. RNAcentral's name for it is "long non-coding RNA (ATRI_LNC001051)". The record is from RNAcentral. Lineage: Eukaryota; Viridiplantae; Streptophyta; Magnoliopsida; Amborellales; Amborellaceae.